CCUACGGGUGGCUGCAGUGGGGAAUCUUGCACAAUGGGGGAAACCCUGCUGCAGCGACGCCGCGUGAGUGAAGAAGUAUUUCGGUAUGUAAAGCUCUAUCAGCAGGGAAGAAGCAAGACGGUACAUGACUAAGAAGCCCCGGCUAACUACGUGCUAGCCUCCGCGGUAAUACGUCGGGGGCAAGCGUUAUACGGAUUUACUGGGUGUAAAGGGAGCGUUGUCGGUAUGGCACGACUGAAGUGAAAGCCCAGGGCUUAACCCUGGGACUGCUUUGUAAACUGUUAGACUAGAGUGCUGGAGAGGGAAGGGGAAUUCCUAGUGUAGCGGUGAAAUGCGUAGAUAUUAGGAGGAACACCAGUGGCGAAGGCGGCUUACUGGACAGUAACUGACGUUGAGGCUCGAAAGCGUGGGGAGCAAACAGGAUUAGAUACCCCUGUAGUC
Molecule: ribosomal RNA, 441 nt
Filed under: uncultured bacterium
Lineage: Bacteria
Description: partial 16S ribosomal RNA
Rfam family: Bacterial small subunit ribosomal RNA
Source: RNAcentral